Long non-coding RNA from Hemicordylus capensis (graceful crag lizard), 5105 nucleotides. RefSeq lists it as uncharacterized. The record is from RefSeq and is a predicted model, not a curated record. The transcript has 5 exons. Lineage: Eukaryota; Metazoa; Chordata; Lepidosauria; Squamata; Cordylidae.
GCCCAAGCAAGCCAGGAAGGAGGAGGCAGCCAGAGUGUUCUCGGCAGCAGAAGACCCCUUGCUGCCCUGCUCAACCCAGACCAGCAUUUGCCAGGUUGUUCGUUUUCACAAGACUGCUGUUUACGUUUUGAAAGCAAUUUGCCUGAACAGAAGCAUUUUGCUGCUGUUGAGUGGCUAAUUAGGAAAGCACCCAGUUGCAGAGUCUAAAUUUCAAGGCAUUAGUAGCAGCUUUUAACACCUUCUGGGACCAGGGACCAGAAAUCUGGGGACAAGAAAAGAUGCCCAUUUGCAGCUCAGAGAUGCAGAUUUGCUUUGGGCAGAAUAGAACAGUUUCCUCCCAAAAAUAGCAGCUAACAGAAGAUGGGAUUGAGAUCUCCCUGGACUGAGCUAAUGUCCUGAACUAAUAUCAAUAAUUAAAAGACAAUAUCCAGAAGCUGCCCCCAGCCUGCUUGACUGCUUGAAGCUUGCACCCCAGGCUCCUGUUCUCCAGCACCCACGUUUCUCCUCCAUCUGAAGUCUGCAUCGCUCCAGCUCCUGCUCUCCAGCUCCAGAGUCUCUUCUUCAGCUGAAGCCUCACCGCUCUCAAGCCUCUGACCCUGGUAUGGCGGUUCAGGGAAUUGGCUCCGGAGGCCAAGGUGGAGCCAGAACUGAUGCCGGAGGCCCUCUGGAGACUAGGCGAGUAGAAGCCCUCUGGGGUGUCCCUUGCUCCCAGUACCAGGGGUAGCUAUGCAAGAAAUGUAGCCUCUUUCAGUUCAUUGAGGCUGCAGAUGGGCAUGCAGGAGCACUGACCUGUCCCACCCGAUUACCUUAUGCGGUAUUUGGUGCAUCUACACUCCCUGGGGCGGGCGGCUCCUACCCUUUUGGGUUAUGUAGCCCCCUUGCCAUUUGAGUCUCAGGCCCAUGGGGUUCGCGACUGCACUGGGGACAGCAGGGUGUGGCGCAUGUUGGAGGGGUGGGCCAGAGAGCUUCCCCCGAUUGCAGACCGAAGACAGCCUGUUACACCUGACCUGCUAGAAGCCAUCCUGGGGCUUCUCCCCUCUCUGUGUACCUCCGCCUGGAAGGCAACUCUUUUCCAGGCAGGAGUGGCAGUCUUGUUUCUUGGAGCCUUUUGGCCUGCUGAGUUGUUGCCAUGCAGUGGGCGUUCCCCUAGUUGUUACCCCUGCAGCGUAGGGACUUUCCCUUUUCUAGUGCAGGGGUGACGCUGCUGCUGCAUCAUCCUAAGACCGACCAGAGAGUUAGGGGCCAGGAGAUUUACCUGGCUCAGUCACCUUAUCUGCCCGGGCCAGGCCCUGCACAAAUACAUAGCCUUGGACCCCCAGCAGUGGACAACUUUGCUACCAUCUGCAAUUGGUUGCCAGGGGUGGCAAUAUUGUGGGCAGACUUGUUACAACAUAGAGUUUGGAGGGGUGUCCAAAGUGUGAAGGGAGUUGAGAGGGCCAGGAAAAGGGUUAAUGUGGCCAUGGGUCGUUACGUAACAGCUCAAGGGGGCUGCUUCAUCUCGCAGCCUGGAAUUGAAGAUUCAGAUGCUCACUUUUUUCACCCAGAUGGAGUCUAUUUAUUCGUGAAGGGUGGUGACAUUUACUUGGCCAACCUGCAGUGGGGGUUUGCUGAAUGCUUGGAUAGGUGGGGAGGGUAGGCCAAGCUAGGCUGAUCUUCCCUUGUGGCAGGUGCAGUGCAGGCUGGGUGGAUAUUUAGUUGGGUUUGGGUACUGGUGAGCACCCUAGGGUGUUAAAAGAGAGGCUUUGCGACUCAGGGGCUGUGAUUGGCCAUCACUCCUGUUUGGGGGCUUCACAGAUCUUAAAGGCUGUGCGGCUUGGGGGAGGUGAAGCCCUGGAAGUGGCCCUGACUCCACGGGUUGGCCAGGAAGAGAGCUGGUCUUGUGGUAGCAAGCAUGACUUGUCCCCUUAAGCUAAGCAGGAUCCACCCUGGUUGCAUAUGAAAGGGAGACUUGAUGUGUGAGCACUGUGAGAUAUUCCCCUCAGGGGGUGGAGCUGCUCUGGGAAGAGCAGAAAGUCCCAAGUCCCUUCCCUGGCAGCAUCUCCAAGAUAGGGCUGAGAGAGAUUCCUGCCUGCAACCUUGUAGAAGCCGCUGCCAAUCUGUGUAGACAAUACUGAGCAAGAUGGACCUAUAGUCUGACUCAGUAUAUGGCAGCUGCCUAUGUUCCUAUGAGGAGGCAGCAGGUUUGCACUGCUUACACCUUUGAGCCAUGGUGUGUCGCCCUGAGGGGGCUUGGGGGAAGACCUAAAAGUCUGACCCCAGCCUUGUUAGGCCCACACUGCAGGGGGUGGAGUUUUCUGUCCACAUCCAGUGGCAUGGGGGCAAUAUCCUUUGCGCUCUGGCUAGGCACACUUGUGUCCCCAUAUGCCACAAAGCUGGAGUCUUGACUUGGUCAAGGAAGCACCAAAUAAUACAUUUCUUUCCCACCAGUGGACCAUUCUGGCUUCCUGCUUAGGGGAGAGAUGGCAGGCAUAAGUAGCUCCUGCCCCAUCCAGCAGUACAGACGAGGACCUGGCUGUGUGCUUUUCUGGAUUCUGGAACCGUGCUGUCUGAGUGGUCCCUCCUGGUCUCUUUGGAAUGACUUUCUGCUGUUUGCCGCCUGAGUAUUUUUCUGAGGUAGCCUCCUGGCAUGACACCCUGACUGGUGGUGUUCCUCACUUCCACCAUGAUUGCCUGUGUCCCCUUGGCCAGUCUGCAGGCAGGAUCUGCAGCCCCUUCUUUGAUACUGACUACCAGGGUGGCUUAUAUUCCGAUAGUUUGCAUGUUGGUGGGCACUCUGAACAGCUUGCUCGAAAAGGUUGACUUCAGUUUUAAUAACCUUUUAAAUUUCUUCAAAGUUGGCUUCCAGCUCCUUCAGCUCAUCCAGCAAGGGAUUGCUCUCUCUUUUGCUAGGGUGGUAUGAAGACUGCACUCCCCUCUGGCUCAGGUUCUGCAUGCAGGUGGUGUUGUACAGUUAGAGUUUUCCCAGGUUUAGCCAGUUACAGAUAGGGCACUUCCACAUUCCUGGUUCUUUUCUCGCUCCCAACUGACAGCCAGGUUUUCAAAUAAAAGGUCAUCAGUGAUCUGGCUGUCCUUUAAAUGAGGUUGAAUCAAAAUCCAGAUAUUAUCACUCUGUCAGGAAGGAGUGGAGUACCAUUUUGUAGAAGGGUACGGUCACACUUUAAGCCAAUAGCUUGGUCUCAUGAUCAGUGAGAAACGGUUUUGGGUGGUGAGCGGGGAGGGACCCCUGGGCGGCCAGAUUGGCCGUCCACAUGAUUGCUGACUCCGUGACGGAGCCGGUGGGGGCUAGGGAGCUCGGAGGCCUGCGCAAGCGCGCAGGGCAUACUGGAGAGACCCCCGGAGCCGGGAGGUGGCUCUUCACCUCCCCUCUGGGGGUCUACUCACGAGUAGCCGCAGAGCCGCACCGCAGCUACUCACAAUCGGAUAGCCCGGGAUAGCACUCGCUCUGCAAACCCAGACUAAGGGGAGGGGUACUUGAGCGGGUUACCCGCUCUAGAACCACCGGGCUCACAGCCUGGUGGUUCUCACGAUCAGCAAAAUUCAGGCUAGCAGAGGCUAGCCCAAUUUUUGCUGAUCAUGGGAACAGCCCCGGAGUCUGUUUCUUGUGAAGCAAACAGAAUAUUUUGUCUCAAAUCCAUUAGUCAGUCUAGGAAAUCCUGGGGUGUGUCUUGGGGUUCUCACACUGCUGUUGACAAGGAUAAAUACAACUCUGUUGCAUCUUUUUUCUGGAGCUUUUACAGACAGGGUCGUUACUGCGAAUCUCCUCCAGACAAUAGUGUGUGCAUUCACACACCAGUCAAACUUACCCCGAAGUCCGUUUGAGAUCCUUGGAAGCACUCCACACACAAAUUGGGCUUUGUCUUCCGAAUUCUAGCUUAUCUCGAUGUAUUUCCAGGUUUUUAAAAUGCUGGCUUUAAGAAAGUUUUCUAAAAACGGUGCAGCAAAUAGGGAGAGGCACUGAUGAAGAAUCACUAACAUGAUAAGAGGGAGGCAACAUUGUGUUCCUACCCCAAGGAGCUCUCUCUCUCUCUCUCUCUCUCUCUCUCUCUCUCUCUCUCUCUCUCUCCCCAUUGGCUAGAAGGAAACCACGGAGGAAUGCAAUGUGAACCUGCACCAAAAGAAAACCCGAAAGCGGAGGGAAGGGGCUGCUUCCCUCAGAUACCGCGAGUGUACUUCAAAGUGGCUUUGCUCAACAUUUACUCCACAGCAUGAAGCCACGUGUGAAUAACUCCCUGGUGGUAGGAACUCAGUUUUGCUAGGCUGAGAUCUCUUUUCCCUUCCAAAUAGCUUCUGAGACUAAGUGCAGGGGAAAUAGUCUUAAUUACAGCGUCUAGUAUUUCUGUCUCACUGUAACCAUUUUGGAUUCAACCCUCAAUCUGACAGGCCAAGCUGGUGAAAUUCAGUCUGUCCUUUUGCAGAGGGUAACCUAUCUAUCCAGUUAUCUUAAAAUCUUUCCUGUUUUGGUUCCACUCCCAUGUGCAAUUUUCUCUCCUCCAGUUUCCUGUCUAUCUCCUCCAUUUUUUUCUGGGGCUGAUCUUCUAAUAGUUUUACAUUCUCAAGAUAUUACUUCUGUAGUUUCCUUCUCUAUUAGUUACAGUUCUGAACUCUUCAAUCUAAUCUUUCACUUUCAAGAAGUGCUGGUUAUUGCCUUUAAAGCCCUGAACAGCUUAGGUCCAAGUUACCUUAGAGAGCGCCUUCUUCUGCACGAUCUCCACCGCACGUUAAGGUCAUCUGAAGAGGUCCGUCUACAGUUACCAACAGCACGUCUGGUGGCGACUCAGAGGCGGGCCUUCUCUGUAGCUGCUCCUGGGCUGUAGAAUGCACUCCCAGCAGGAAUCCAUAAUCUGAGUUCAUAGUUGGCCUUCAGGGGAGCCCUUAAGACCUCUCUGUUUGGCCUGGCCUUCCAGAGUUUUUAAACUGUUUUUAAACCAUAAAGGUUCAACCUGGUUUUCCAGGGUUUUAAAAAACUGUUUUAAUUAUUUUAAUAAUGGUUUUAUGUUUUUAUAGUUUUCAGUUUUAAUUGUUAAUUGAUUUUAGUUUUGUUUUAAUGUAAGCCAUUUUGGAAGGGUGGUAUAGAAAUAAAAUGCAUAUAUACAUACUGUGGAUAA